UAGGGAAUCUUCCACAAUGGGCGAAAGCCUGAUGGAGCAACGCCGCGUGUGUGAUGAAGGGUUUCGGCUCGUAAAACACUGUUGUAAGAGAAGAAUGACAUUGAGACUAACUGUUCAAUGUGUGACGGUAUCUUACCAGAAAGGAACGGCUAAAUACGUGCCAA
This 164-nucleotide ribosomal RNA is filed under the name uncultured bacterium. RNAcentral describes it as "partial 16S ribosomal RNA". It matches the Rfam family "Bacterial small subunit ribosomal RNA", at positions 355 to 511 of the family's 1533-position model. The record is from RNAcentral.